AGUGAACGCUGGCGGUAGGCCUAACACAUGCAAGUCGAACGGCAGCACAGUAAGAGCUUGCUCUUACGGGUGGCGAGUGGCGGACGGGUGAGGAAUACAUCGGAAUCUACUUUUUCGUGGGGGAUAACGUAGGGAAACUUACGCUAAUACCGCAUACGACCUACGGGUGAAAGCAGGGGAUCUUCGGACCUUGCGCGAUUGAAUGAGCCGAUGUCGGAUUAGCUAGUUGGCGGGGUAAAGGCCCACCAAGGCGACGAUCCGCAGCUGGUCUGAGAGGAUGAUCAGCCACACUGGAACUGAGACACGGUCCAGACUCCUACGGGAGGCAGCAGUGGGGAAUAUUGGACAAUGGGCACAAGCCUGAUCCAGCCAUACCGCGUGGGUGAAGAAGGCCUUCGGGUUGUAAAGCCCUUUUGUUGGGAAAGAAAAGCAGCAGGUUAAUACCCCGCUGUUCUGACGGUACCCAAAGAAUAAGCACCGGCUAACUUCGUG
This 492-nucleotide ribosomal RNA is filed under the name uncultured bacterium. RNAcentral's name for it is "partial 16S ribosomal RNA". It matches the Rfam family "Bacterial small subunit ribosomal RNA", at positions 29 to 507 of the family's 1533-position model. The record is from RNAcentral.